RNAcentral lists this ribosomal RNA (517 nucleotides) under uncultured bacterium. RNAcentral describes it as "bacterial SSU rRNA". It matches the Rfam family "Bacterial small subunit ribosomal RNA", at positions 772 to 1290 of the family's 1533-position model. The record is from RNAcentral.
ACUCAAUAGAUACCCCGGUAGUCCACGCCCUAAACGAUGGAUACUCGACAUACGCGAUACACAGUGUGUGUCUGAGCGAAAGCAUUAAGUAUCCCACCUGGGAAGUACGACCGCAAGGUUGAAACUCAAAGGAAUUGGCGGGGGUCCGCACAAGCGGUGGAGCAUGUGCUUUAAUUCGAUGAUACGCGAGGAACCUUACCUGGGCUAGAAUGUAGUCUGACCGUGGGUGAAAGCUCAUUUUGUAGCAAUACACAGAUUAUAAGGUGCUGCAUGGCUGUCGUCAGCUCGUGCCGUGAGGUGUUGGGUUAAGUCCCGCAACGAGCGCAACCCCCAUCACUAGUUGCCAUCAGGUAACGCUGGGAACUCUAGUGAAACUGCCGUCGUAAGACGCGAGGAAGGAGGGGAUGAUGUCAAGUCAUCAUGGCCUUUAUGCCCAGGGCUACACACGUGCUACAAUGGGGCGUACAAAGGGCUGCCACUUAGCGAUAAGGAGCCAAUCCCAAAAAACGACCUCUCA